Molecule: long non-coding RNA, 481 nt
Organism: Hippocampus zosterae (dwarf seahorse)
Lineage: Eukaryota; Metazoa; Chordata; Actinopteri; Syngnathiformes; Syngnathidae
Exons: 2
Source: RefSeq, a predicted model, not a curated record
AGCUUCCCUUGAGAGAGAAAUGUUGUCAAAACACUGCAGGCAAUCAGCUCAAUGUUUCCCCUGCACCAGCAGCGGUUGGACUGCGUCUUAUGGGAGACAAUUAAUGUUUCCCAAAGAUGCGAAAUUCCACCAUUUACGUCAGCGACAGCUAGCUUACCUGCAAAGCGCGAGGACAGUUAUCAAAAAUGGUCGUCGGAUUUGUUGAGCUAGGACCGCUAAUUCUACCAACAAUACAUUCUACGAUGGAUUUGGCGCUCGCUUGGCUUCAGGAUGAACAAUAGCGUGCUUGUUUAAACUUGUCUGAGGAGCGCCAGUAAUGUUGUAAGGCAGGUGUGGAGGUCACAAGUGGUGAUUCAGCUUUGUGGGAAGCAACGAUGGAAAAGAAUGGUGGCAGGAUGGGGAGGAAGAAAGUGCCAUCCCACAGUUACCUUUCACUGUCUGCUAUGAAUAAUGCCAAAGAAAUUAAAUGUGUCAAGGAAAA